AUACUUACCUGGCAGGGGAGACACCAUGAUCACGAAGGUGGUUUUCCCAGGACGAGGCUUAUCCAUUGCACUCCGGAUGUGCUGACCCCUGCGAUUUCCCCAAAUGUGGGAAACUUGACUGCAUAAUUUGUGGUAGUGGGGGCGGGGGGAGGAGAAGAACUGCCUUCA
RNAcentral lists this small nuclear RNA (168 nucleotides) under Choloepus hoffmanni (Hoffmann's two-fingered sloth). Its description in RNAcentral is "U1 spliceosomal RNA (ENSCHOG00000015347.1)". It matches the Rfam family "U1 spliceosomal RNA". Rfam says of the family: U1 is a small nuclear RNA (snRNA) component of the spliceosome (involved in pre-mRNA splicing). The record is from RNAcentral. Lineage: Eukaryota; Metazoa; Chordata; Mammalia; Pilosa; Megalonychidae.